Molecule: ribosomal RNA, 483 nt
Filed under: uncultured bacterium
Lineage: Bacteria
Description: bacterial SSU rRNA
Rfam family: Bacterial small subunit ribosomal RNA
Source: RNAcentral
AUUGAACGCUGGCGGCAUGCUUUACACAUGCAAGUCGAACGGUAACGGGCCUUCGGGUGCCGACGAGUGGCGAACGGGUGAGUAAUGCAUCGGAACGUACCUUUCAGUGGGGGAUAACGUAGCGAAAGUUACGCUAAUACCGCAUAUUCUGUGAGCAGGAAAGCAGGGGGAUCGCAAGACCUUGCGCUGAUUGAGCGGCCGAUGUCAGAUUAGCUAGUUGGUGAGGUAAAGGCUCACCAAGGCGACGAUCUGUAGCGGGUCUGAGAGGAUGAUCCGCCACACUGGAACUGAGACACGGUCCAGACUCCUACGGGAGGCAGCAGUGGGGAAUUUUGGACAAUGGGGGCAACCCUGAUCCAGCCAUGCCGCGUGAGUGAAGAAGGCCUUCGGGUUGUAAAGCUCUUUCGGCCGGGAAGAAAUCGUAUGGGCUAAUACCCUGUGCGGAUGACGGUACCGGCAUAAGAAGCACCGGCUAACUACGUG